Long non-coding RNA from Beta vulgaris subsp. vulgaris (sugar beet), 2203 nucleotides. RefSeq lists it as uncharacterized. The transcript has 4 exons. NCBI's taxonomy places the organism in Eukaryota, Viridiplantae, Streptophyta, Magnoliopsida, Caryophyllales, Amaranthaceae. The record is from RefSeq and is a predicted model, not a curated record.
UUUCAUUGUUAAAUGAUAUAUGGGUCCUAUUAUGUUUGUGAGUUUAAUUCCCUUAAAUCAGGUGUGUGUGUUUUAAUUUAACAAUUCGAGUGCAUUGCAUUGAAUUUACAAAUUGAGGGUUGUGUGGAUCCUAAUAGAGGAUAAUAGAAAAUCCUCUAGUUCUCGAGCUAACAACAAAGCCUAUGGAAUAUAAAGAUUCAAUCUUUAUGACCUAUUUCAUAUAAAGAUCGAAUCUUUCAACAAGUAGAAGUGAGAUUCGGGUGUUUUGAGACUUGUUAUUGAUUUUACUAUCCACAAACACAUCAUUUGCUUUAUAAUUCUUUUUUUUUUUGUUUUUGAAUGAUAUAGGGGUCCUAUUAUGUUUGUGAGUCUAAUUCAUUCACAUCAUGUGUGUGUGUGUUUUAAUUUAACAAUUCGAGUGCACCGCAUUGAAUUUACAAAUUUAGGGUUGUGUGAAUCCUAAUAGAGGUUAGUAAAAGAUCCUCUAGUUCUUUAGCUAACAACAAAGCCUAUGCAAUAUAAAGAUUCAAUCUUUAUGUCCUAUUUCAUAUAAAGAUCGACUUUUUCAACAAGUAGAAGUGAGAUUCGGGUGUUUUGAAACUUGUUACUUAUUUUACUAUCCACAAACACAUCAUUUGCUAUAUAAUUCUUUUUUUUAGUUGUUGAAUGAUAUGGGGGUCCUAUUAUGUUUGUGAGUCUAAUUCCCUCAAAUCAGGUGUGUGUGUGUGUGUUUUAAUUUAACAAUUCGAGUGCAUUGCAUUGAACUUACAAAUUGAGGGUUGUGUGGAUCCUAAUAGAGGAUAAUAGAAAAUCCCCUAGUUCUCGAGCUAACAACAAAGCCUGGGCAAUAUAAAGAUUCAAUCUCUAUACCCUAUUUCAUAUAAAGAUCGACUCUUUCAACAAGUAGAAGUGAGAUUCGGGUGUUUUGAGACUUGUUAUUGAUUUUACUAUCCACAAACACAUCAUUUGCUUUAUAAUUCUUUUUUUUCAUUGUUAAAUAAUAUAUGGGUCCUAUUAUGUUUGUGAGUUUAAUUCUCUUAAAUCAGGUGUGUGUGUUUUAAUUUAACAAUUCGAGUGCAUUGCAUUGAACUUACAAAUUGAGGGUUGUGUUGAUCCUAAUAGAGGAUAAUAAAAGAUCCUCUAGUUCUCGAGCUAACAACAAAGCCUAUGGAAUAUAAAGAUUCAAUCUUUAUGCCCUAUUUCAUAUAAAGAUCGAAUCUUUCAACAAGUAGAAGUGAGAUUCGGGUGUUUUGAGACUUGCUAUUGAUUUUACUAUCCACAAACACAUCAUUUGCUUUAUAAUUCUUUUUUUUUUUUAGUUUUUGAAUGAUAUAGGGGUCCUAUUAUGUUUGUGAGUCUUAUUCCCUCAAAUCAGGUGUGUGUUUUAAUUUAACAAUUCGAGUGCACCGCAUUGAAUUUACAAAUUGAGGGUUGUAUGAAUCCUAAUUGAGGUUAAUAAAAGAUCCUCUAGUUCUUGAAAUAUAAAGAUUCAAUCUUUAUACCCUAUUUCAUAUAAAGAUCGACUUUUUUAACAAGUAGAAGUGAGAUUCGGGUGUUUUGAGACUUGUUAAUUAUUUUACUAUCCACAAACACAUCAUUUGCUUUAUAAUUCUUUUUUUUUUCAUUGUUAAAAAAUAUAAGGGUCCUAUUAUGUUUGUGAGUUUAAUUCCCUUAAAUCAGGUGUGUGUGUUUUAAUUAAACAAUUCGAAUGCAUUGCAUUAAAUUUACAAAUUGAGGGUUAUGUUGAUCCUAAUAGAGGUUAGUAAAAGAUCCUCUAGUUCUCGAGCUAACAACAAAGCCUAUGCAAUAUAAAGAUUCAAUCUUUAUGCCCUAUUUCAUAUAAAGAUCGACUCUUUCAACAAGUAGAAGUGAGAUUCGGGUGUUUUGAGACUUGUUAUUGAUUUUACUAUCCACAAACAAAUCAUUUGCUUUAUAAUUCUUUUUGUUUAGUUUUUGAAUGAUAUAGGGGUCCUAUUAUGUUUGUGAGUCUAAUUCCCUCAAAUCAGGUGUGUGUAUGUGUGUUUUAAUUUAACAAUUCGAAUGCAUUGCAUUGAAUUUACAAAUUGAGGUUUGUGUUGAUCCUAAUAGAGGUUAAUGAAAGAUCCUCUAGUUCUCGAGCUAACAACAAAGCCUAUUCAAUAUAAAGAUUCAAUCUUUAUGCCCUAUUUCAUAUAAAGAUCGAAUCUUUCAACAAGUGAAGUGA